RNAcentral lists this ribosomal RNA (301 nucleotides) under uncultured bacterium. Its description in RNAcentral is "partial 16S ribosomal RNA". It matches the Rfam family "Bacterial small subunit ribosomal RNA", at positions 509 to 809 of the family's 1533-position model. The record is from RNAcentral.
CAGCAGCCGCGGGAAUACGUAGGUGGCAAGCGUUGUCCGGAAUUAUUGGGCGUAAAGGGCUCGCAGGCGGUUUCUUAAGUCUGAUGUGAAAGCCCCCGGCUCAACCGGGGAGGGUCAUUGGAAGCUGGGAAACUUGAGUGCAGAAGAGGAGAGUGGAAUUCCACGUGUAGCGGUGAAAUGCGUAGAGAUGUGGAGGAACACCAGUGGCGAAGGCGACUCUCUGGUCUGUAACUGACGCUGAGGAGCGAAAGCGUGGGGAGCGAACAGGAUUAGAUACCCGAGUAGUCCCUGUCUCUUAUAA